UGGCGCACGGGUGCGUAACGCGUGGGAAUCUGCCCCUGGGUUCGGAAUAACAGCGAGAAAUUGCUGCUAAUACCGGAUGAUGACGAAAGUCCAAAGAUUUAUCGCCCAGGGAUGAGCCCGCGUAGGAUUAGCUAGUUGGUGAGGUAAGAGCUCACCAAGGCGACGAUCCUUAGCUGGUCUGAGAGGAUGAUCAGCCACACUGGGACUGAGACACGGCCCAGACUCCUACGGGAGGCAGCAGGU
RNAcentral lists this ribosomal RNA (243 nucleotides) under uncultured Sphingomonas sp. RNAcentral describes it as "partial 16S ribosomal RNA". It matches the Rfam family "Bacterial small subunit ribosomal RNA", at positions 96 to 354 of the family's 1533-position model. The record is from RNAcentral. Lineage: Bacteria; Pseudomonadati; Pseudomonadota; Alphaproteobacteria; Sphingomonadales; Sphingomonadaceae.